Etheostoma spectabile (orangethroat darter) is the source of this 202-nucleotide long non-coding RNA. RefSeq lists it as uncharacterized. The record is from RefSeq and is a predicted model, not a curated record. The transcript has 2 exons. Lineage: Eukaryota; Metazoa; Chordata; Actinopteri; Perciformes; Percidae.
GUUUUAGGUAAGAAAUCAAAUCAAAUGAAAAACACAGCACUGUAAUUAGAGUGUUUCAUACUGUACUUAAGUCUAGUUUACCAAAGAAGCAAAGUAAAAGCAGCAUGCUGGGCUGGUUUGAGCACUGAUCAGGUGCACUGUGACCCAGACUUCAGAGGCUUACUUUGGUGGAGGAACAAAGUUAACUGUUUUAGGUAAGAAA